GUCAAUUGCUCACUUUAUUUCAUCAGACUAAAAACCUUUCUAAAAAAAACAGAGGAAAUCGAAAUUGUCUUAGACUCCUAGAACCAAGGCUGAACAUUUCAUGGUGUUCAUCCUUACCAACUCAAAAAAAAAACGCUGACUUCCCUCUCUCUAUAUAACGCCAAUUGCUCACUUUCUUUCUUCUAACAUCAGACUAAAACCUUUCUAAAAAAACAGAGGAAACCGAAAUUGUCUUAGACUCAUAGAACCAAGGAUGAACAUUUCAUGGUGUUCAUCCUCACCAACUCAAAAAAUGAAAGCUGACUUCCCUCUCUCUCAGCUAGCACUGGUUCUCGGCUUCAACAAAGAGGGAAAAAUCAAACCAAAACAAAAAGCACGAGCAAACUCGAAACAAAAAGAAGAAAGUUCUAAUAUCGAAUUUCAUGGGUCGCAGCAAGAUUAUUUUAAGAUCUAUAAUAAUCUAGUACAAAUAGUCAUGCAUAAAUACACAAUCAUCAAAUCAAACAUGUAAGAGGCUAACACAUGGAGUUUCGAUGCCUUGAAAAGGUUGGAGAAAGGGACGAAAGGUUCCGUCGGAGCUUCGCGACUCCGCCGAGACGCCGACAAUGAUUCUUUACCUCGAGGUAUUAGCUCGGAUUACUCAAAGUUCUGAUGAUAAACUCUGAGCACCCCUUUGGUGUUUUGAGCUUUUGGGUACAGGUUGAGGUGGGAAUUUGGCAGCGUAAUGAUAUCCCUCUUUCUAUUGCUUCAGGUUCCUUUUUAAAGAGCCCUUAUACGAGGUUUCUUCGUCCUUAUUCUUUAUGAGCUGGCGAGUGGAUCAAGGAUCAAUCCGUUAUUGAAAAUCUUUCACAGAUUUUGGUGUGGUCCCACCAAACGGAAGUGGUAGGAUGAAAUUUUGUUUUGUGGUACCUCCCAAAAAAUGUGUGACUAAUCAUUCAGAUCUUUUCCAUAGAAUAUUUAUAGCGGUAAGAUUUGUACUUGUUGUGGUAAGGGAUUUUUUACUGUUAUGUAGAUUCAGCUUUAAACGAUGUAUGGCCCUUAACUAUUCCUUAUUUCAAAAGGACUCCCUAAAUGCCACUCCCGCUUUGAUUUAGAUUGGGGUAUUUACUUUCGCGGUUUUGAUGCUUACGUGAUAUUGCUUGAUAAUUUAAGUCUCGUGACCUCCUUUUCUUCUGCACUUUCAGGUUGUACUACGACUUCGGACCCAUGAUGGUGGUUAAAUGGUCGAGUGGAGAUUGAGGCCAUUUGCAAGUUUGCAGCCCGUGUGCACCUGGUCUUUGGUAUGCUGUCUAGGACAUGAGGUUAUGUUCUUAUUACCCUUGUACUUAUUGAUUUUGUUGUUGGGUCAUUGUUGAAUUGCAUAUUGUUUCUAUUUCCACUUUGUUCUCGCAUUUCAUUGUCCAUAAUAUUUCAGUGUAGGGAAUGUUGUUGUUAGUUAUGAUGUGUUGUAGGUUACCGUUGCAGUCUUGCUGCUGCGUCCUGCAUUGGAGCUUGGUUCUCAUCGCCUUGACUCCAUUUAUAAACCCUGCCCUCCAUUGUCGAAUGACACUUGAUUUCUGCAUUGCAGCUUGGUUUUGUUGCCUCCUAACAGCUAGGUUAGAUAACAACUUGAGGUUGUUUUCAGGGCAUUUGAAUUAUUGACCAAUAUGCUUACUACUUGUCAUAGCAUUCUCUAGUGGACAACAAAAUGGUAGCUCUCUUCAAUCCAUGGUCCUGCAGGCGUGAUUCUACCAGAAAACCUUUGCGGCUUACUAAAGAAUUGUGAUUACAGUUGGAGCAUAUGUCCAAAAAGGUGUUGGCGGUACCGACCAUUGUGGACUCUGUAAUGGUUGCCGCUGUUGGAUUUUGAUAGCCUGAUGGAAUAGAACGUUAACCGCAACCAAAAACCUCUCCUCAGCAUCAAAGGUGCUGGCAACGAUAACCAUAAGAUCCAAUGCUGUGGAAUGCCUUAACGCGUUGUAAGUAUUGUUGUCUGCACUGGUGGACCUUCCGUGUUUCUGCCCAUGUGAGUUUCUAUGAGAUCCCACUCUGCUAGCACCGGAACUCCUUGGUUGUUUUUCAAUGAGCUAUUGCCCUUCUUUUCUUUUCCUGUUCAUUGGAAGCUUCAAUAUUCUUCCAGUAAUUAUGUGCACUGACAUGAGGAUACCAGGUUAUAACUUUCAGAAGAACGAGCUACACUGCGGAACUUCUGCCUUCUAAUGGGAGAGCAAAAGCUAUGAAGUCCAUGACAACAUUCUCUUAUGCGGAUUGCAAUUCACAUCACUUGUUAAAUACAACAAGUCCUUUUUGUCAAAUGAAAAAUGGAAAAUUUGAAUGUCUUGUAACAGUUAUGCUUUGUAUGCAAGUGCGAAUUACUGAAACGGAGUCAAUGGAACUUAGGAUGUAGCUUUGGAUUUGUUUUCGUUAUGAUCUGCGUUUUCCUCACGACUUGGCUUUGUUGCAGCUUACGGCUUGUAUCUAUAUGUUUGGCUUAUGCAGCCUGUAGUCGUUUUUUGGUUUAUGUUGUUGGCGUUAUAACGUCAUUUUUCCCUUUACCGUACUUGGUUCAUUUCACGUUUGAUGUUAUUUCUCUGCCAUGUACUGCCGCGUUCCAGUUUCUCAA
This is a long non-coding RNA of Lathyrus oleraceus (garden pea), 2602 nucleotides long. RefSeq lists it as uncharacterized. NCBI's taxonomy places the organism in Eukaryota, Viridiplantae, Streptophyta, Magnoliopsida, Fabales, Fabaceae. The transcript has 4 exons. The record is from RefSeq and is a predicted model, not a curated record.